CAAAUUAUUUUUGCUUUUCUUAAUAAUUAACAGUAUCGACACAUGGGAUACAAAGACAGUAUGCACCAAAUGAAUGAAAGAAUCCAUAAUAAUACAGAGGGAACGUUCUCGUUAUAGAUAGAAGAAGAUAGAUUCAGUGUUAUCCUUAAUCCAUUCAUUCUUCACAGUGUUGUCGUUUUCAACCAAAAUGCUUCAGAGGUAUUAUGCUUCUUCUAUCCCUCUUUUUCAACAUUCAAACCCUAAUUUCAUUCCUUCUUCAACAAUGUUAUACUCUCAAUUACACAACCAACAAGACAAAGCUAAUCUUGUUUCCUCAUUCAAUCACUUGUUACAUCAGAAUCCAACCCCACCCAUCUUCCAUUUUAAUAAGAUUGUAGGUUCCCUUGUUAAGUCCAAUCAUUACUACACUGUUGUUUCACUUCAUCGUCAUAUGGAAUUAAAUGGAAUUGCUUCAGAUUUAGUCACUUUGAGCAUCUUGAUCAAUUGCUUUUCUCAAUUGGGUUUAAACUCUCUUUCCUUUUCUGUAUUUGCCAACAUUCUCAAAAAGGGUUAUGACCCAGAUGUCAUAACUUUGACUACACUCAUCAAGGGUCUUUGUCUCAAAGGUCAGAUCCAUAAAGCAUUGAACUUUCAUGACAACGUCGUAGCACAGGGAUUUCAGUUGAACCAAGUUAGUUACGGGACCUUAAUCAAUGGGUUAUGUAAAGUAGGAGAAACAAGUGCAGCCUUGCAGUUGUUGAGACGAGUUGAUGGGAAACUGGUUCGACCUAAUGUGGUAAUGUACAAUGCAAUUAUUGACAGUAUGUGCAAAGAUAAACUUGUUGAUGAUGCUUUUGAUUUAUAUUCUGAAAUGGUCGCUAAGAGAAUUUAUCCUAAUGUUGUCACUUAUAGUACUUUAAUUAGUGGCAUUUGCAUUGUCGGUAAAUUGAAAGAAGCAAUUGAUUUGUUUAAUAAAAUGAUAUUGGAAAACAUCAACCCUAAUGUGUUUACCUUCAAUAUAUUGGUUGAUGCAUUUUGUAAGGAAGGAAAAGUGAAAGAAGCUAACAAUGUGUUUGCUAUGAUGAUGAGAAAAGGUGUUAAACCUGAUGUUAUUACUUAUAGCUCGUUAAUGGAUGGAUAUUGCUUAGUUAAAGAAAUGAACAAGGCCAACCGUACAUUCAACACCAUGGCACAAUGUGGAGUGACUCCAAAUGUUCACAGCUAUAGUAUUAUGAUUAAUGGAUUUUGUAAAGUUAAAAUGGUGGAUGAAGCCUUAAAUCUCUUCAAAGAAAUGCGUUGUAGAAACAUUAUUCCUAAUGUGGUAACUUACAGUUCCCUUAUUGAUGCAUUUUGUAAGGAAGGAAUAGUGAAAGAAGCUAAUAAUGUGUUUGCUAUGAUGAUUAGAAAAGGUGUUAAACCUAAUGUUGUUACAUAUAACUCUUUAAUGGAUGGAUAUUGCUUAGUUAAACAAGUGAACAAGGCCAAGGGUAUAUUCAAUAUCAUGGCCCAAAGUGGAGUGACUCCUGAAGUUCGGAGCUAUAAUAUUAUGAUUAAUGGAUUUUGUAAGGUUAAAAUGGUGGAUGAAGCCUUAAUUCUCUUCAAAGAAAUGCGUUGUAGAAACAUUAUUCCUAAUGUGAUAGCUUACAGUUCCCUUAUUGAUGGUUUGGGAAAAUCAGGGAGAAUCUCUCAUGCUUUGAAGCUUGUUGAUGAGAUGCAUGAUAGAGGUCAACCACCUGAUAUAGUUACCUACAAUUCUAUAUUUAAUGCUUUAUGCAAAACCCAUCAUGUUGAAAAGGCGAUUGCAUUAUUAACAAAAGUUAAGGACGAGGGCAUUCAACCAAAUAUGAACACAUAUACUAUUCUUAUUCACGGAUUGUGUAAAGUUGGAAGAGUAGAGGACGCGAGAAAUGUUUUUGAAGAUCUUUCAGUCAAAGGCUACAAUCUAAAUGUUUAUACAUAUACUGUUAUGAUCCAAGGGUUUUGCGACAAGGGCUUGUUUGAUGAAGCGUUGGCCUUGCUAUCAAAAAUGAAAGACAAUAGUUGCAUUCCAGACGCUGCAACUUAUGAAAUAAUUAUCCGUUCUCUGUUUAAUAAAGGUGAAAAUGAUAAGGCAGAGAAACUUCUACGUGAAAUUAUCGCAAAAGGUCUAUUGUAAGAUUGAAACUAGGAAGCUUGAGUCUAAGAAUCAUUUUGGUGGAGUGAUCUGGUAAAUUUUAAUACAACAACUUUGGUAGGUUUUAUAUCAGGAAUUAAUAAUGGCAUUACGGAGAAACUUUUCGCUACUAUAGAAAGUGAAUUGGGACAGUGCUGGUUUAAGUGAAACUUUGACUUUGUGAUUUCUCAAAACAUGUAUUCCAGGGCCCUUCUCCUUCAUAUACAGCCGUGUCAUUCUGAGAUGAAUGCUGAUUUUGCACCCUCAUGCAUAAAAUUCAUGUCAUGGUUGCACACAUGAACUGCGACGAGAUUGGGGACAAAGUUCAAGUACGAUGUGCCGCCAAGACUUCAGUGUGCAACAAACCUGCGGUCAGACAGAGUAAUUAGGCGGUGGAUUCACCACCACCGAGUCAUCCUUUUGUUCACCAUCUUCUCCCAAUAGUACAUUUGAACUUGAAUCCCAAUAUGAAGAAGCCCAUUUUUCUUUCCAUUGCUUCUACACGUGUCUGAUUAACUAUUAUUAACUACUAUACUCAUAUAUGUUAACUCCCUAUAACCCAAAUCUUCCACCAACAUAAACAUUAAACGAAUGAAUCCUAAAUAAUAGAGAGAGGGAACAUUUCUCGCUGUACAUAGGUUCAGUGUUAUCCUUAAUUCAUUCAUUCUACACAAUGUUGUCGUUUUCAACCAAACAGCUUCGGAGGUACUAUGCUUCUUCUCUCCCUCUUUUUCAACUUCCAAACCCUAAUUUCAUUUCUUCUUCAACAAUGUUAUGCCACCAACAAGAAAAUCAUGAUAAUCUUGUUUCUUCAUUCAAUCACUUACAAGUACUCUCAAUUACUUAGAGUGAGGAAAAAGAUCAUGAGGGAGAAGUGGAAAAUGAGAGAAAUGGUGAGCUUGAGGAAGAAGUCGAAAAUGAGAGUGAGGAAAAAAAAAGAGAAAAGUAAGAAAGAAAGACUUAUUGAUCCCGAUUCAAUGUUAAGGAAGAUAAAAAGUCAACUUUUGAAAGAGGGACCUCAAAAAAUUUCUUAUUAUGUGAAGUUACCUUAUCCACACAUAGGGAAGAACAAAAGUAGUGUCUAGUGAGCGUGAGAAGAAGGUGGUAGAAGGGAAGAGUGAAAAUGAAAAAGUAGAAAAAAGUGAGAAAGAAAAAGAAAAAGAGGGAGGAGUUGAAAAUGAGAGAAAGGUGGAAGAGAAGAAAAAAGAUGAUAUGCAAGGUUUGUUGAUAAUGACUCAAAUUUGAAGAAAAUUAAGAGUAAAAUUUU
Molecule: RNA transcript, 3398 nt
Organism: Trifolium pratense (red clover)
Lineage: Eukaryota; Viridiplantae; Streptophyta; Magnoliopsida; Fabales; Fabaceae
Gene name: putative pentatricopeptide repeat-containing protein At1g12700, mitochondrial
Exons: 3
Source: RefSeq, a predicted model, not a curated record